AGAGUUUGAUCAUGGCUCAGGACGAACGCUGGCGGCGUGCUUAACACAUGCAAGUGGAGCGACGAACCAGGGCUUGCCCUGGGGCAAAGCCGCGAACGGGUGAGUAACACGUGGGCAACCUGCCCUGAUGAUUGGGACAACCCGAGGAAACUCGGGCUAAUACCAAAUGUGCUUUCCGGUCAUAAGGCCGGUUCGGAAAGGUAGCUUCGGCUUCCGCAUCAGGAUGGGCCCGCGGCCCAUUAGCUUGUUGGUGGGGUAACGGCCUACCAAGGCGACGAUGGGUAGCUGGUCUGAGAGGACGAUCAGCCACACUGGGACUGAGACACGGCCCAGACUCCUACGGGAGGCAGCAGUGGGGAAUCUUGCGCAAUGCGCGAAAGCGUGACGCAGCAACGCCGCGUGGGGGAAGACGGCCUUCGGGUUGUAAACCCCUUUCAGUUGGGACGAAGCUUCGGCGGUGAAUAGCCGUUCGGAGUGACGGUACCUUCAGAAGAAGCCCCGGCUAACUACGUGCCAGCAGCCGCGGUAAUACGUAGGGGGCAAGCGUUGUCCGGAAUUAUUGGGCGUAAAGCGCGUGUAGGCGGUUCGGUAAGUCCGCUGUGAAAGUCCAGGGCUCAACCCUGGAAUGCCGGUGGAAACUGUCGAGCUAGAGUCCGGAAGAGGCGAGUGGAAUUCCUGGUGUAGCGGUGAAAUGCGCAGAUAUCAGGAGGAACACCAAUGGCGAAGGCAGCUCGCUGGGACGGUACUGACGCUGAGACGCGAAAGCGUGGGGAGCAAACAGGAUUAGAUACCCUAGUAGUCC
RNAcentral lists this ribosomal RNA (802 nucleotides) under uncultured bacterium. RNAcentral's name for it is "bacterial SSU rRNA". It matches the Rfam family "Bacterial small subunit ribosomal RNA", at positions 8 to 796 of the family's 1533-position model. The record is from RNAcentral.